RNAcentral lists this ribosomal RNA (497 nucleotides) under uncultured bacterium. Its description in RNAcentral is "partial 16S ribosomal RNA". It matches the Rfam family "Bacterial small subunit ribosomal RNA", at positions 28 to 508 of the family's 1533-position model. The record is from RNAcentral.
GAUGAACGCUGGCGGCGUGCCUAAUACAUGCAAGUCGAGCGAACAGAUGAGAAGCUUGCUCCUCUGACGUUAGCGGCGGACGGGUGAGUAACACGUGGAUAACCUACCUAUAAGACUGGGAUAACUUCGGGAAACCGGAGCUAAUACCGGAUAAUAUAUUGAACCGCAUGGUUCAAUAGUGAAAGACGGUUUUGCUGUCACUUAUAGAUGGAUCCGCGCCGCAUUAGCUAGUUGGUAAGGUAACGGCUUACCAAGGCAACGAUGCGUAGCCGACCUGAGAGUGGGAGCGCCCACACGGGCAGAGAGACACGGCCCAGCCCCUAAAGGGAGGAGCGAGGGGGGAUUCUCCGGAAAUGGGCGAAGCCCGGACGGAGAACCCCGGGGGAAGGAAUAAGGUUUUUCGUACCGAAAAACUUUUUUAUGGGGAAAAAAAAAAUGUGAAAGAACCUAGGCCCUUCUGAAGGUUCCCUAAUCAAAAGGCCAGGGCAAACUCGGGC